AGGAGGACGCUUACCACGGUGUGGCCGACGACUGGGGUGAAGUCGUAACAAGGUAGCCGUAGGGGAACCUGCGGCUGGAUCACCUCCUUAACGAA
RNAcentral lists this ribosomal RNA (95 nucleotides) under Burkholderia stagnalis. RNAcentral describes it as "partial 16S ribosomal RNA". It matches the Rfam family "Bacterial small subunit ribosomal RNA", at positions 1444 to 1533 of the family's 1533-position model. The record is from RNAcentral. Lineage: Bacteria; Pseudomonadati; Pseudomonadota; Betaproteobacteria; Burkholderiales; Burkholderiaceae.